This 465-nucleotide ribosomal RNA is filed under the name uncultured Klebsiella sp. RNAcentral describes it as "bacterial SSU rRNA". It matches the Rfam family "Bacterial small subunit ribosomal RNA", at positions 338 to 795 of the family's 1533-position model. Lineage: Bacteria; Pseudomonadati; Pseudomonadota; Gammaproteobacteria; Enterobacterales; Enterobacteriaceae. The record is from RNAcentral.
CCUACGGGUGGCAGCAGUGGGGAAUAUUGCACAAUGGGCGCAAGCCUGAUGCAGCCAUGCCGCGUGUGUGAAGAAGGCCUUCGGGUUGUAAAGCACUUUCAGCGGGGAGGAGGGCGUUAAGGUUAAUAACCUUGGCGAUUGACGUUACCCGCAGAAGAAGCACCGGCUAACUCCGUGCCAGCAGCCGCGGUAAUACGGAGGGUGCAAGCGUUAAUCGGAAUUACUGGGCGUAAAGCGCACGCAGGCGGUCUGUCAAGUCGGAUGUGGAAUCCCCGGGCUCAACCUGGGAACUGCAUUCGAAACUGGCAGGCUAGAGUCUUGUAGAGGGGGGUAGAAUUCCAGGUGUAGCGGUGAAAUGCGUAGAGAUCUGGAGGAAUACCGGUGGCGAAGGCGGCCCCCUGGACAAAGACUGACGCUCAGGUGCGAAAGCGUGGGGAGCAAACAGGAUUAGAUACCCUAGUAGUC